Molecule: ribosomal RNA, 253 nt
Filed under: uncultured bacterium
Lineage: Bacteria
Description: partial 16S ribosomal RNA
Rfam family: Bacterial small subunit ribosomal RNA
Source: RNAcentral
UACGGGGGGGGCAAGCGUUGUUCGGAAUUACUGGGCGUAAAGGGCGCGUAGGUGGCCAACUAAGUCAGACGUGAAAUCCCUCGGCUUAACCGGGGAACUGCGUCUGAUACUGGAUGGCUUGAGUUUGGGAGAGGGACGCGGAAUUCCAGGUGUAGCGGUGAAAUGCGCAGAUAUCAGGAGGAGCACCCGUGGCGAAAGCGGCUCUCUGGGACGGUACUGACGCUGAGACGCGAAAGCGUGGGGAGCAAACAGG